This is a long non-coding RNA of Oryzias latipes (Japanese medaka), 786 nucleotides long. RefSeq lists it as uncharacterized. The record is from RefSeq and is a predicted model, not a curated record. Lineage: Eukaryota; Metazoa; Chordata; Actinopteri; Beloniformes; Adrianichthyidae.
GAGGAGAAAUGGUUUUUAUUUGUUUUAUUUUCAGCUACACAGCCUGGUAAACACACAACAGGAAAAGGAAAUGAUUUGUAGACUCCAGUCUGGGGAUGUCAUUAGUUAUAAAGCUGGUAUCUCUCCAUGGUUUACAGAGAGAAUGUUUGCAAAAUGAAAAUGUGGACAAAAGGGAAUAUUUUAAAGCUUGUAAAAAGAAUGCAAAUAUGCAUGUUUUGCAAAAGUUUAUCGAAACUUCCUGUGUGACCUGACCAUGCAUGCCAAUUGGUUAGAAGGAAACCCACUGGUGAAGGCAGCACGAACGGAAACUUAUCUUCUCUGCAGCUUUGAUGGCAUCUUCUUGCAGGCUGGAAGAUCUCGCUUGAUUUUGGAGAGCCUGCUGGAUGCGUAAUCGUCCCCGUCGCUGAGCAGCUGCAUGGCCGACCUUAGGCGCUCCUCCUUCGCUUCUCGGACGUGUUUCCAUCCCGUGUAAACCAUCAUGCCGAAGACCAGCAGGCUGGUGCUCACCCGGAACUGCUGUUGUCACAAUAAUAGAAGCAACAGCGGGUGGACCAGAUGCUCAGAGGAAUCCGACAGAUCAAGUCCUUGAACAAAUACGAACACGGGGCCGCAUAAACAUCCUGCUCUGACUACAGGUGCAGAACCCACCUGCUCUGCUCCCCAUUCUCACACGACGAGGUAGUCAAUGUAGAUGAUUGUAGCCUUGGAAGAGUUUUGAAAUAAGCAUUAAAAUGUCUUUUAAAGCAUCAAUAGUAAAGGCAGCAUGUGGGUUUCUCAAGCUGAUUA